Molecule: ribosomal RNA, 452 nt
Filed under: Triticum aestivum (bread wheat)
Lineage: Eukaryota; Viridiplantae; Streptophyta; Magnoliopsida; Poales; Poaceae
Description: partial small subunit ribosomal RNA
Source: RNAcentral
AGCACCGCGGGAGGAUAAGGCUGCCACCGCGACCCCUCGGGCGACCCCCCGAGAUAUUUUCCUCCCUCGCUCGCCCCUCUCCUCGCAUCCAUCGAUCGCUCCCCACCUUCCGGAGCGCCUCCGUCGCUGUCGCACCAUCGGUUCCACCAUGGCCACCGGCGUCCCCCUGCGUCCCCGGGUUGUCCAAGGGCCACGUCUGCUACGACCUCGUCUUUUGCACCAAGCAGUCGGAGCCAGGGAGUUCUACGUCGACCGGAUCAACUACGUCGUCCAUCUCGGGCUCCGGCGCACGCCACCAUCGAUCUGCACCGCUUCUGCCCGCAUAUGCUUCCCCGAGCUCACGUUGACCUCACUACCCCGAGACCGCUGCCGGUACCCCUGUGAUCGGCUACAUCGACGACGAACCCUUCUCUUGCCAGAGCAACCAGGCAAGCCCCCCCCCACUUGAUCAC